GUUAUGCGGUCAAGCGACGAAGCGUGUGUGGUGGAUGCCUUGGCAGCCAGAGGCGAUGAAGGACGUUGUAGACUGCGAUAAGCUUCGGGGAGCCGUCAAACAGGCUUUGAUCCGGAGAUUUCCGAAUGGGGAAACCCGGCCCUUCGGGGUCAUUGCACAUUGAAUUCAUAGAUGUGCAAGGCGAACGCGGUGAACUGAAACAUCUAAGUAGCCGCAGGAAAAGAAAUCAACCGAGAUUCCCCAAGUAGUGGCGAGCGAAAGGGGAAUAGCCCUGAAGUGGUGCAGAAUUUAGCGGAACAGUCUGGGAAGGCUGACGAUAGAGGGUGACAGUCCCGUACGCGAAAAAUUCCGCAUCAUGAUAUCGAGUAGGUCGGGACACGUGAAAUCCUGACUGAAUAUGGGGGGACCAUCCUCCAAGGCUAAAUACUCCUGGCUGACCGAUAGUGAACGAGUACCGUGAGGGAAAGGUGAAAAGAACCCCGGUGAGGGGAGUGAAACAGAAUCUGAAACCGCAUACGUACAAGCGGUCGGAGCCUGGCGCAAGCCGGGUGACGGCGUACCUUUUGUAUAAUGGGUCAGCGAGUUAUUGCCGGUAGCAAGGUUAACCGUAUAGGGGAGCCGUAGGGAAACCGAGUCUGAACAGGGCGCUCAGUUGCUGGUGAUAGACCCGAAACCGGACGAUCUAGCCAUGGCCAGGCUGAAGGUUGAGUAACAUCAACUGGAGGGCCGCACCCACCUAUGUUGAAAAAUGGGGGGAUGAGCUGUGGCUAGGAGUGAAAGGCUAAUCAAGUCCGGAGAUAGCUGGUUCUCCUCGAAAGCUAUUUAGGUAGCGCCUCAUACAUGACUGCCGGGGGUAAAGCACUGUUUCGGCUAGGGGGUCAUCCCGACUUACCAAACCGAUGCAAACUCUGAAUACCGGCAAGUUCGAGUAUGGGAGACAGACGGCGGGUGCUAACGUCCGUCGUCGAAAGGGAAACAACCCAGACCGCCAGCUAAGGUCCCUAAUAUCAGUUAAGUGGGAAACGAUGUGGGAAGGCACAAACAGCUAGGAGGUUGGCUUAGAAGCAGCCAUCCUUUAAAGAAAGCGUAAUAGCUCACUAGUCGAGUCGGCCUGCGCGGAAGAUGUAACGGGGCUAAACUGAUAACCGAAGCUGCGGGUUCGCGAACACCCUCGGGUGAUUGCGGACGGUAGAGGAGCGUUCUGUAAGCGGGUGAAGCCAGGUCGGGAGGCCUGGUGGACGUAUCAGAAGUGCGAAUGCUGACAUGAGUAACGAUUAGGGGGGUGAAAAGCCCCCCCGCCGAAAGAUCGAGGUUUCCUGCCCAACGUUAAUCGGGGCAGGGUGAGUCGGCCCCUAAGGCGAGGGCGAAAGCCGUAGUCGAUGGGAAACCGGUUAAAAUUCCGGUACCCGGCUUUGCUGCGAUGGAGGGACGGAGUAGGCUAGACCGGCACGGUGUUGGUUAUCCGUGUUCAAGCGUGUAGGUAGGAAGCUUAGGGAAAUCCGGGCUUCCGUUAAUCUGAGGCGUGAUGACGAUCUUCCCGGGCAACCGGAAAGAGAAGUGGUUGAGGCCAUGCUUCCAGGAAAAUCUUCUAAGCACCAGGCAAAGUUGGACCGUACUUAAACCGACACAGGUGAUCAGGUAGAGGAUACCAAGGCGUUGAGAUAACUUGGGUGAAGGAACUAGGCAAAAUGGUACCGUAACUUCGGGAGAAGGUACGCUCCCUCCGGUGAUCGGACUUGCUCCGUAAGCCGAGGGGAGUCGCAGUGACCAGGUGGCUGCAACUGUUUAUUAAAAACACAGCACUCUGCAAACUCGAGAGAGGAAGUAUAGGGUGUGACGCCUGCCCGGUGCCGGAAGGUUAAUUGAUGGGGUUAGCGUAAGCGAAGCUCCUGAUCGAAGCCCCGGUAAACGGCGGCCGUAACUAUAACGGUCCUAAGGUAGCGAAAUUCCUUGUCGGGUAAGUUCCGACCUGCACGAAUGGCGUAACGAUGGCCACACUGUCUCCACCCGAGACUCAGCGAAAUUGAACUCGCUGUUAAGAUGCAGUGUACCCGCGGCUAGACGGAAAGACCCCGUGAACCUUUACUAUAGCUUCACACUGGACUUUGACUGUACUUGUGUAGGAUAGGUGGGAGACUGUGAAAGCAUCGCGCCAGCGUUGCCGGAGUCAACCUUGAAAUACCACCCUGGUGCUGUUGAGGUUCUAACCCAGGUCCCUUGACGGGAUCGGGGACAGUGUGUGGUGGGUAGUUUGACUGGGGCGGUCUCCUCCUAAAGAGUAACGGAGGAG
Molecule: ribosomal RNA, 2290 nt
Filed under: Gammaproteobacteria bacterium
Lineage: Bacteria; Pseudomonadati; Pseudomonadota; Gammaproteobacteria
Description: partial 23S ribosomal RNA
Rfam family: Bacterial large subunit ribosomal RNA
Source: RNAcentral